CCCGAUGUUGUGAAUGGAAGAUGAAAACAUCUUUUAAGAAAUGUUGCCUGAAGAAUUCAGAGCGAAAGAUAAUUGAAAACAGAUGGGCAUGAGACAGUUGACACAGGCAAUAUGGAAAAAGUGGAGCUAUCCUAUGGAAGCUCUAGCAACUGUGACAACCCUAAGGUGUGAAAGAGGCUAUGCUAAUAAAUGGACUACAAAGCUCAGGACAGGCUUCCAGAAAUAGACUUUCUUUGUUAAACUGUAGAGGUCUGAGGCUAAAUUAAUUUCUGUCGGAAAGAGGCUUGGAUGGAAGGGAUACAGAAAGUUCAUGUGGAAGAGGCUCAAGCCCUGAGGUCCCAGGUUCCAUUCCACCCGCAGAUGAUCAGGGUCUGCCAGCGUAACACCUUCUCCAGCCAAAUACAAUCAAUAGCAAUGAUGGGAACACAGCCUACUUCCAUGGAAGAAUGCACUUUGAAAAAGAAUUGGAUCUGGCAAAUUCUAACCACAGCUAAUUAGACAGCCACACUAGGGGAGAUAAUACCUUUUAUUGGACCAACUUCUGCUGGUGAGAAAAACUCAGCUAUCAUACCACUACAGAUAGCCGCAGCCCUGAAGUGGUUAAGGUGACUCCAAAGGGGCCAAUUAACCUUACAGGCCGCACCUGAGGGAAAGGUGGAGACUGAAUUGGUGAUGAAGCCCAGGACGGCAGGGGCAAGCCAGCUUGUAUACAGCCAGAAAGGAUUGCACCAUCCGUUUUGACUACAGUGUUGCACUAGGAGCUCAGGUUCAGAUGAUUAUCCACCAAGACACCUACAUAUUUUCCUGACUCAUAGCUUUCCUGGAUGGAGGCAGAGCUCAGUCGUGUUUUCAUAGCUUUUAAGGCGAUGUCAAGUGUCAGUAACAGAGGAAAAAAGACUGAGGUUGUCAAACGUCCAGGAUACUUAGGAAAGGUGUCAUGCAAGUGAGUUUGGAACAAAGUUUUAACGCAAGAGAAUGUAUGGAAAGAAAGAGAGAGACAUUAAAAGCUCAUUUCUCCCAACAGUUUCUGUAAACCGUCAGGAAAUGCUCAGUCUAAGAUAUCUAUUAUUGUUAUUAAUUUGUGCAAGUAACAAGAUACAGAACAUGACAAUCUCUGUCAUGAGGAUGUUAUUGUCUAAGUUAAAAGACAAUCCCAAAUCCACUAGGAAACCCAGAGGAGGUCAGUUUUACACCAUUCCCUUGAAGAGAGAGGAUGGACUUCUAGUUCAUUGUAACAGGGUCCCAAGGAAUACACAGUAGCAUGAAAGAAGGCAAGAGGAUAACUGCAUGAACAGGAAGACAAAAGGAGACUGGAAGUGUGGGAUUCAUAAGGAGACUGAAAGGAGCAUAGGGUGAGUGUCAAGAAAUGAAACCAUAGAGAUAAGGGUGAGAGCAGAGUUUGGCAUCAAACAUCAGUUUUUCCUCAGGAAUAUAGGACAACUUGUCUUCAUUCUUCACAACCUGACAUGCUAGUUUUAAAUCUGAAUGCAGGGAGAAACAGCCAAACUUGGUAGAGCUUUGAGAGAGAGGGAGAGAGAGAGAGAGUCUUGUCUCGCCUUCAUAUCUUCAGGGAAAUAGGAGGAGAAAGAAGACUAAAAUGUCGCCAAGACACCAAGCCUAUAUUAAGUCAGAGCAGGUGAGCUCUGUGUAGGAGUCAAGGGAAAAGGAGGCUUAACCAAGCGUCUAUCUAGCCUAGCUACAGGGAAUCGGAGGUGUGAAAACAGAGUAGACAUUGCACAAGUUAUUAGGCUCCAUAAAGGAGUAACUGGGUGGAAAUGAAUGGCUUGUGACUUGCAGGUGGUCAGACUAGGUGAUAUAAUGGUCUCUUCUGUCUUUAUAUUAAAAGAUACCUGCUCUCUGUCUAUGAUCAGAGGUUGAGAGCAUACCUCGAAUAGGUAGCUGAGCAGGAAUAGGGCAGUUAAGGCCAGAUCCACCCAACUGAGUAUGUGGACCAGUGCAGCUAGGCUGUGGCUCAAUAGUCAAUCCUCAACUAUUUCACCAACAUUAGGUUUGGCCUCCCAGGCCCUCACCCCAUUCCUGCAUUACAAAUACUUGGGAUGAAAGGUGCCCACACUCAGAGAUCCAAAGACAUAGGCGGGGAGAGGGAUGGGGUUGGAAUGGCAGUUUGACACUGGUUGUUGUCUCUCUGCUUUAGUGUUUAUAGGGCCACAGAUCCAGGAGAAGAGUUUUCUAAGCUGUGAGCUGGAUCAUUCAGGGCAUACAUUUCAGUCCCACCUGGGGGAAAAAUCCCAUCUUCUUCCCCACCUGUCCACUUGCUAGGAUGAAACUGCUCCAGGAAGUAGGCUGAGUUCUCUCCUGCUGUCCUCUGCAACCCAACACCAUUCUCACAGGGAGGUGGUGGGGAGCAAGAAGCAGAAAGACACAACCAGCUCAAGGGUAGACCUGCUUCCUCUUACGCCUCCCAUGAGCAACAGGAAUGGCUUCUCUGCUCCUCUCCUUUCUUCCUCCCAGCAACACACAGCCCUGGAAAUGGGGCAAGAGGACCCUGGUUGCUGCCCCUUCCGGACCUGAGAAUGGGGUGUAAAGAACCCCAGGAGCUGCAGAGAUCUAAGAAGAAAACUUUGGAAGCGAAAAACAGAAUAGACUGCCUUUAUCCUAAUCCUGAGGGUUGUCUUGACCAGAUCAGGCCAGAGAGGAGGACCCAAAUGAAAUUGCUACCUUUACCAGUUUUAGCUGACUCCUGGCCAUCACCUGGGAUUAAAUGUGAUUGGACUCUAGCAACAAUAACAAGAAUAAUUCCUGAUGCUCUCAUCUAACUUCUCUUUUAUCCCAGAAACCAGUGAUCAUCAUCUUCAAUACGAUCGAAGAGACCAUCAAGUAAAGUGGGAUUUUCCUU
Molecule: non-coding RNA, 2857 nt
Organism: Pelodiscus sinensis (Chinese soft-shelled turtle)
Lineage: Eukaryota; Metazoa; Chordata; Testudines; Trionychidae
Source: RefSeq, a predicted model, not a curated record